Molecule: ribosomal RNA, 113 nt
Filed under: uncultured bacterium
Lineage: Bacteria
Description: partial 16S ribosomal RNA
Rfam family: Bacterial small subunit ribosomal RNA
Source: RNAcentral
UUCCCGGGCCUUGUACACACCGCCCGUCACACCACGAAAGUUGGCAAUACCCGAAGCCGGUGUCCUAACCCGCAGGGAGGGAGCCGUCGAAGGUAGGGUCAGUGAUUGGGGUG